RNAcentral lists this ribosomal RNA (442 nucleotides) under uncultured bacterium. Its description in RNAcentral is "partial 16S ribosomal RNA". It matches the Rfam family "Bacterial small subunit ribosomal RNA", at positions 338 to 795 of the family's 1533-position model. The record is from RNAcentral.
CCUACGGGUGGCAGCAGUAGGGAAUCUUUCACAAUGGGCGAAAGCCUGAUGGAGCAACGCCGCGUGCAGGAUGAAGGCCUUCGGGUCGUAAACUGCUUUUAUAAGCGAGAAAUAUGAUGGUAAUUUAUGAAUAAGGAUCGGCUAACUACGUGCCAGCAGCCGCGGUCAUACGUAGGAUCCGAGCAUUAUCCGGAGUUACUGGGUGUAAAGAGUUGCGUAGGUGGGAUUAUAAGUAGCUAUUGAAAUCUGGUGGCUCAACCAUUCAGACUAUUAGCGAAAGUGUGAAGCUCGAGACCGUUAGAGGUAAGUGGAAUUUCUAGUGUAGGAGUGAAAUGCGUAGAUAUUAGAAGGAACACCAAUAGCGUAGGCAGGUUACUGGGACGGUUCUGACACUAAGGCACGAAAGCGUAGGGAGCAAACGGGAUUAGAUACCCGUGUAGUC